This 324-nucleotide long non-coding RNA is filed under the name Musa acuminata (dwarf banana). Its description in RNAcentral is "long non-coding RNA (MACU_LNC010930)". Lineage: Eukaryota; Viridiplantae; Streptophyta; Magnoliopsida; Zingiberales; Musaceae. The record is from RNAcentral.
UCAACAGAAUAAUCAAGUCUGCCGCAUGUGAUAUUGUUAUUCUAGUGGAAACGAAAAUUAAACAAUCGCGUGUUCAAGCUCAAAAGAAUUUAAUAUGGUCGGACGCAGAACUGUUUACCAAUGACUCAAAUGAAACUUUUGGUAGAAUAUGGGUCUUAUGGCAUCCUAACUCUAUUAAUGCUUGGUUUUCUUCUACUACUGAUCAAUUCAUUCAUCUUAAGGUAGAGGACAAAAAGAAUGGCUGUCAAUUCAAUUUCACUGGUAUAUAUGCUUCAAACAGUAUGCAAGAAAGAAAUACUCUUUUGUCUGACCUGACUAAUAUUG